ACAGUAAUACAUUUCAUUCUUCCAGGCUGAGGUCCUGAGGAAAUUUGGGCAGUGCCAGAAAAUUAAAUAGAAUACUAAUCUUAUGCGGCACAUCUUGUGGAUCUGUUUUCUCUGGAAUUAUACAGGGUUAAGAAGCUCAGUGAACCUGGCUGACACCUGACCAGAGGACCAAUAAGGGGACAAGAUACUUUCAAAUCUAGUGGAGAGAAGUCUUUGUUUGUGCUUUUUGUUUGGUUCGUUGUUCGCUCUCGGGACUGAGAGGAAUGGGACAUCAUUCCAGGUUCUCCAAAUCUUUCUGAAUCAGUCUCUCAUGUUUCAAAAUAAUCGUCCUGUGGGUCCCCAGGCCUCCAAGUCACAAAGCAUGGAUAGACCUGUGCAUGCAUAUGGAGCCUCACUGAUUGAAUGGGGUGGUGUGCAAACGUGGAGAUCUGCCGACAUGCUUCAACAUGUCUGAUUUGGGCCUUUUAUCAGUUUCUUCCUUGAUGGAU
Gopherus flavomarginatus (Mexican gopher tortoise) is the source of this 488-nucleotide long non-coding RNA. RefSeq lists it as uncharacterized. The record is from RefSeq and is a predicted model, not a curated record. NCBI's taxonomy places the organism in Eukaryota, Metazoa, Chordata, Testudines, Testudinidae. The transcript is spliced from 3 exons.